UGGCUAUAGAACAGAUUGUUCAGGGUAAUAAAGGACCUUAUAAUGGAACAUUGUUAAUAAAGAUUCACCUUUUGGUAAAUAAGACUCAUGAUACUGGAUCUUAGCUUGAGCUUGAGCUUUGAAAGAUGAAAAGUAUAUUGUGUAUCAAGGAACGAUCUGCAGCAAUGCAGAGAGAACUUCUAAGACUUAGACAAUAUGUCAUAAAUCAGAGCCCAAUAAUAACUUACAGCUUAAAUUAUACAACUAAAAAGGUUAGACAAAUGCGAGAAAGACAUCUAGUAUGCCAGCUAGCAUGAGAAGUAUCCCAAAUAUAGAUAACCCAUGUUGUAAGCUUACCACAAUGAGAAUACAUUCCCAAGAGAGAAAACGUGAGACGGGCAGAACUCCAAUCCACUUCCCACUUUCCAAUACAGAAUUAUUGAAAAACUCAAGUUUAAAAAGUAAAAAUACAAAGAAAUUCUAAUGAGGGUUGGAGAUACAGAGAUGGUGAGUAAAUGUCCUACUCUCAGAAAAUGUUGAUAAGAGCAAAUUUUUAAGUAAAAGUCUAGUAUCUAUCCAAGACUCAAGUUUGGCCAAACCAUGGAAGUCAUCUCUAAGACACACUAAAAAUUGAGAGGUUAUAUAUGUAGAUUAUAACAACUUAAUAACAUGAUCUAACUUGAAAUCCCAUAUGCUGAUAAACGAGAACCUAGAAUUCACACAAUUUUCUCUUCUUUUUUGUGUGUAUGUGCAAGACAACAUUGAGUGUUCAAUCAGUAACAUACAAAGUUCACCAAUAACACCAUGUAGUUUGACAAGAACUUGAAAGAAGCUGAAACACGUCAUAACUUAAAAUUAAUGAAUUCCAGGAACGGAAAGUAAUAGUUACUUCAAGACAGAAGAAAGGCCCAAGGAUAGUGCAAGAAUAUAGCCAUCAUAGUCUCUUGAACCUGUUGAUAAAGAGUACAAAAGAGUACGAACACCAGUCACAAAGGGUUAUUCAACCAUAAGAAUGUUAUAAAAGAUCCAAUUAACAGUCAUGAAGACAUCUGGCACACUUGUCAAAUAAGUAGUUAAUUGAUCUACCCUAAAAUGAGUUUGAUGAUAUACAACAUUAAAGCUAAACAUUG
This 1109-nucleotide long non-coding RNA is filed under the name Nicotiana tabacum (common tobacco). Its description in RNAcentral is "long non-coding RNA (NTAB_LNC013361)". The record is from RNAcentral. Lineage: Eukaryota; Viridiplantae; Streptophyta; Magnoliopsida; Solanales; Solanaceae.